GACGUCGAAUAUCGACGUCAUAAACAUCAAAGUUGAUCGUGUUUAUGACGUCGAAUAUCGACGUCAUAAACACCAAAGUUGACCGUGUUUAUGACGUCGAAUAUCGACGUCAUAAAUACCAAAGUUGUUCGUGUUUAUGACGUCGAAUAUCGACGUC
Non-coding RNA from Paramuricea clavata, 157 nucleotides. The record is from the annotation of a GenBank genome assembly. NCBI's taxonomy places the organism in Eukaryota, Metazoa, Cnidaria, Anthozoa, Malacalcyonacea, Plexauridae.